UCGAUAGCUCAAUAGGUAGAGCGUUUGGCUGUUAACCAAACGGUUGUUGGUUCGAAUCCGACUCGA
This 66-nucleotide transfer RNA is filed under the name Genlisea aurea. It matches the Rfam family "tRNA". Rfam says of the family: Transfer RNA (tRNA) molecules are approximately 80 nucleotides in length. Their secondary structure includes four short double-helical elements and three loops (D, anti-codon, and T loops). Lineage: Eukaryota; Viridiplantae; Streptophyta; Magnoliopsida; Lamiales; Lentibulariaceae. The record is from Rfam by way of RNAcentral.